RNAcentral lists this ribosomal RNA (313 nucleotides) under uncultured bacterium. RNAcentral's name for it is "bacterial SSU rRNA". It matches the Rfam family "Bacterial small subunit ribosomal RNA", at positions 30 to 325 of the family's 1533-position model. The record is from RNAcentral.
AGUGAACGCUGGCGGCAGGCCUAACACAUGCAAGUCGAGCGGCAGCGGGUUCCCGCGAGGGGAUGCCGGCGAGCGGCGGACGGGUGAGGAACACAUCGGAAUCUGCCUGGUUGUGGGGGAUAACGUAGGGAAAUUUACGCUAAUACCGCAUGAGACCCUGAGUCGACGGACUGGGGGUGAAAGUGAGGGACCUUCGGGCCUCACGCGACCAGAUGAGCCGAUGUCGGAUUAGCUAGUUGGCGGGGUAACGGCCCGCCAAGGCGACGAUCCGUAGCUGGUCUGAGAGGAUGAUCAGCCACACUGGGACUGAGAC